AAGCCUAGAAUGAAUUCUUCCUGGGUCGAUGCCCGAGCGGUUAAUGGGGACGGACUGUAAAUUCGUUGGCGACAUGUCUACGCU
RNAcentral lists this transfer RNA (84 nucleotides) under Lycoris squamigera (surprise lily). Its description in RNAcentral is "tRNA-Tyr". The record is from RNAcentral. Lineage: Eukaryota; Viridiplantae; Streptophyta; Magnoliopsida; Asparagales; Amaryllidaceae. RNAcentral also lists the same sequence under 14 other names.